CGAACGGGUGAGUAAUACAUCGGAACGUGUCCGCUCGUGGGGGACAACCAGCCGAAAGGUUGGCUAAUACCGCAUGAGUUCUACGGAAGAAAGAGGGGGACCCGCAAGGGCCUCUCGCGAGCGGAGCGGCCGAUGACUGAUUAGCCUGUCGGUGAGGUAACGGCUCACCAAAGCAACGAUCAGUAGCUGGUCUGAGAGGACGACCAGCCACACUGGGACUGAGACACGGCCCAGACUCCUACGGGAGGCAGCAG
This 254-nucleotide ribosomal RNA is filed under the name uncultured bacterium. RNAcentral's name for it is "partial 16S ribosomal RNA". It matches the Rfam family "Bacterial small subunit ribosomal RNA", at positions 99 to 354 of the family's 1533-position model. The record is from RNAcentral.